RNAcentral lists this ribosomal RNA (253 nucleotides) under uncultured bacterium. Its description in RNAcentral is "partial 16S ribosomal RNA". It matches the Rfam family "Bacterial small subunit ribosomal RNA", at positions 524 to 776 of the family's 1533-position model. The record is from RNAcentral.
UACAGAGGGGGCAAGCGUUGUUCGGAAUUACUGGGCGUAAAGGGCGCGUAGGCGGCCUUCUAAGUCGAACGUGAAAUCCCCGGGCUCAACCCGGGAACUGCGUCCGAUACUGGAAGGCUUGAAUCCGGGAGAGGGAUGUGGAAUUCCAGGUGUAGCGGUGAAAUGCGUAGAUAUCUGGAGGAACACCGGUGGCGAAGGCGACAUCCUGGCCUGUUCUUGACGCUGAGGCGCGAAAGCUAGGGGAGCGAAUGGG